Molecule: transfer RNA, 68 nt
Filed under: Encyrtus sasakii
Lineage: Eukaryota; Metazoa; Arthropoda; Insecta; Hymenoptera; Encyrtidae
Description: tRNA-Cys
Source: RNAcentral
AGAAUUUUAGUUUAAGUAAUUAUUAAAACAGUAAAUUGCAAAUUUAGAGAUGCUGCAAGCAGGUUCUU